UACGUAGGGCGCAAGCGUUAUCCGGAAUUAUUGGGCGUAAAGAGCUCGUAGGCGGUUUGUCGCGUCUGCCGUGAAAGUCCGGGGCUCAACUCCGGAUCUGCGGUGGGUACGGGCAGACUAGAGUGAUGUAGGGGAGACUGGAAUUCCUGGUGUAGCGGUGAAAUGCGCAGAUAUCAGGAGGAACACCGGUGGCGAAGGCGGAUCUCUGGGCCACUACUGACGCUGAGAAGCGAAAGCGUGGGGAGCGAACAGG
RNAcentral lists this ribosomal RNA (253 nucleotides) under uncultured bacterium. Its description in RNAcentral is "partial 16S ribosomal RNA". It matches the Rfam family "Bacterial small subunit ribosomal RNA", at positions 524 to 776 of the family's 1533-position model. The record is from RNAcentral.